This is a non-coding RNA of Potamilus streckersoni, 74 nucleotides long. The record is from the annotation of a GenBank genome assembly. Lineage: Eukaryota; Metazoa; Mollusca; Bivalvia; Unionida; Unionidae.
GCUUUGGUGGCUUAAGUGGUUAGAGUGUAUGACUCAGAUGCAGAAGACCAUGGGUUUGAACCCUGGCCAGUUCA